This 253-nucleotide ribosomal RNA is filed under the name uncultured bacterium. RNAcentral's name for it is "partial 16S ribosomal RNA". It matches the Rfam family "Bacterial small subunit ribosomal RNA", at positions 524 to 776 of the family's 1533-position model. The record is from RNAcentral.
UACGUAGGGUGCAAGCGUUGUCCGGAAUUAUUGGGCGUAAAGAGCUCGUAGGCGGUUUGUCGCGUCUGCUGUGAAAACCCGAGGCUCAACCUCGGGCCUGCAGUGGGUACGGGCAGACUAGAGUGCGGUAGGGGAGAUUGGAAUUCCUGGUGUAGCGGUGGAAUGCGCAGAUAUCAGGAGGAACACCAAUGGCGAAGGCGGAUCUCUGGGCCGUAACUGACGCUGAGGAGCGAAAGCGUGGGGAGCGAACAGG